CCAUAGCCCUUCUUCCCUCCUUCAUAUUGCUCCGGCUGGUAGCCGAAGGGUCCUUUGGGCCCGCCGCUCUGGCCGUCUUCGGUCUUGGUGCUGAGGGUUGCCGCUCGCUCCAGCUGUGCCCGCACAGCUUUGGGAUUCCUGCAGUAGUCGCAGGCACCCGCGCAGUUUGGCUUCUUGUCGUCGAAAUACUUGGAGAUGAUGGCAUGGCGGCACCUGAUAGAAGAAAAGAGAGAGUGGUCCAGCUGCUGUCACGGCUUUGUGGCGCCUUAUUGAUCCACCUGCUGUUAUGUAGACGGCACACAUGUUUUAGUUAAGAAGCAGCCAUAGAGCCUGUUUGGGAAUCAUUCACAUCAACAGAAUCCAAACCCCAAUGCUGGGAAUGGGAACGCUGCCACCUUCCUCUGUGAAACAGGGAAGUCUGAGCCAGGCAGAGAGGAGCACAAAGUAAAGCAAUAGUCCCUCCCAGACACGACUGUCAAAGACAACUGGAAAGCCUCUGAGGAAACUAGAGGAAGAUCUGAAGAGUGAACGCAAAGGAAGAAAAGGCUUCUCUUCUCCGUAUGAAUCUUACUUAUAGUCUCACUUUAGGACCAGCGUCAACUUCUGGUUGCACCUCCCCAACAACAAACCAACUAACCAGUUUUGCCAAGCAAGACGUUCUGCAGAAAGCAGCUACUGGGAGCAUAGAGCAUGCUCACAACGUCUCCACCCAGUGCACUCCCUCAUCUGUUGGCUCUGUAACUCCUAAGUGUGAGAAAACAGCUGAGACUCUCACAGCAGGAUGGAUGCCAGGGAGGAGACAGUUGGCCUCCUGAACAAAGUAUGGCUCAAGCUUCAAAGUCUGUCCAGAGCCCACCCUGUGGACCUGGCAGCCUUCUUCAUCCUCCUCAUCUUCAUCUUAAUGGUGAUCCUGCUGGCGGGGCUGACCUGUAUGAGCUGCUGCUGCUGCUCCAGGUGUAAAUCCAAACAGCACAGACCCGACGUCUGAGUGAACGUGUUACUUUCAGACAGUUUUAUUUUUUUUUUCUGCAGAUCUGAUAAGCAAAAUGCUUAGAAAUCCUCACUGGGUGUCGGAUAUAAACCAUACACCUUUUGCAUAAAAACUGGGCGGAGCCUCAGAACAACAAAGCAAACUCUUGGAUUGUGUUCAAGGCCGCGGAGCACACCCAUUAAUGCUGCCAGGAUUUCAGGAACAGCAACAUUCCUUGGAAGCAUCCCUGGAGCCCGCGAAGCAUCAACAGCUCCUCUAACCUGGGGAUUCAGUUCCCAGCUGGCGUAUGUCAAUACACAGGACCCAACAUGUU
Long non-coding RNA from Cyprinodon tularosa, 1304 nucleotides. RefSeq lists it as uncharacterized. The record is from RefSeq and is a predicted model, not a curated record. The transcript is spliced from 4 exons. NCBI's taxonomy places the organism in Eukaryota, Metazoa, Chordata, Actinopteri, Cyprinodontiformes, Cyprinodontidae.